This 586-nucleotide ribosomal RNA is filed under the name uncultured bacterium. RNAcentral's name for it is "bacterial SSU rRNA". It matches the Rfam family "Bacterial small subunit ribosomal RNA", at positions 338 to 916 of the family's 1533-position model. The record is from RNAcentral.
CCUACGGGAGGCAGCAGUGGGGAAUUUUGGACAAUGGGCGCAAGCCUGAUCCAGCAAUGCCGCGUGAGUGAAGAAGGCCUUCGGGUUGUAAAGCUCUUUUGUCAGGGAAGAAACGGUCUACUCUAAUACAGUGGGCUAAUGACGGUACCUGAAGAAUAAGCACCGGCUAACUACGUGCCAGCAGCCGCGGUAAUACGUAGGGUGCAAGCGUUAAUCGGAAUUACUGGGCGUAAAGCGUGCGCAGGCGGUUAUAUAAGUCAGAUGUGAAAUCCCCGGGCUCAACCUGGGAACUGCAUUUGAGACUGUAUGGCUAGAGUGUGUCAGGAGGGGGGUAGAAUUCCACGUGUAGCAGUGAAAUGCGUAGAUAUGUGGAGGAAUACCGAUGGCGAAGGCAGCCCCCUGGGAUAACACUGACGCUCAUGCACGAAAGCGGUGGGGAGCAAACAGGAUUAGAUACCCUGGUAGUCCACGCCCUAAACGAUGUCUACUAGUUGUCGGGACUUAAUUGUCUUGGUAACGCAGCUAACGCGUGAAGUAGACCGCCGUGGGGAGUACGGUCGCAGAUUAAACUCGAAAGGAUUGACGG